ACUUGACUUGAUGUCGAGGCUGCAGUGAGCUGAGAUCGCACCACUCCUAGAUGAUAAGAGUGAGAGCCUGUCUCAAAACAAAGAAAAGAAAGAAAGAACGAAAGAGAAGAAAAUACAGGUAUUACGGCCUAGACAUUCUUUCAGAUGCCAGAGGAUGCUAUAGAAAAAUGCGUGCCCUCUUGUAAUACUUUGUUCAAGUUCUGAUCAGAAGGAUGAAUGAUGGAGCCCAAGAAGCCAGGUUAAUCCUCAUUACUUACAAAUUCCCUACUUGUGAAGUUGUCUACUUGGUAAAACUUUUUGUAAUACAAAAAUCAAUUUUGUGGAUAUAAACAGAUAAGUCCGGUGUAGUAAAAAAUGUGAAUUGUCCAACAAGCACAUUUCCAGCUGAGUUCAAAGUGAUGUCUUGCCUUCUUUUUUCAGCUCACAAACAAUAAACAAGUGUCCUUUUGUGAUCUAUUUAGUGCCAUACUUUAGGCAUUUUUUUUUUUGCUUCUUCUUGGUGAUUUCACUGCUUAAAAUGUCCCCCAAGGAUAUUGCUAAACUGUGGCCCUUUUUUCUAAACACAGGAAGACAAAAGAAUGUGCCUUAUGGAGAAAAUACAUGUGUUAGCUUAACUUCUUUCUAGAAUGAGCUACAGGGCUGUAG
Molecule: long non-coding RNA, 645 nt
Filed under: Homo sapiens (human)
Lineage: Eukaryota; Metazoa; Chordata; Mammalia; Primates; Hominidae
Description: HSALNT0337460
Source: RNAcentral